AUCAAAUUAGGUGAGUUAUUACCUUUAUGGACUUCUCUUGCAAAUAGCAACACCGACAAGAAUGGGGAACAACGCCAGAAAAGCUCCCUUUCUUGAGAGCAUUAACUCGGUCCAGGUCAAGGGCCUUGUAAUCUGAGUUAACACUUUCUGGAAUUGUUCAUGCAAAGCCUCCAGUGAACCGGUGUUAUCAAUCACAAUAUCUGCCUGUGACCUCUUAAGAUCCAGGGACAUCUGUGCAUUUAUUCUGCUUUUGGCAUCCUCCUCCAUUGAUCCAUCUCUAAUCAUGAGCCGCUGCAGCUGUGUCUUAGGAUCAACCCAAACGACAACAAUGGGUUUAGUCCACUUGUCCA
RNAcentral lists this unclassified non-coding RNA (350 nucleotides) under Hevea brasiliensis (rubber tree). The record is from RNAcentral. Lineage: Eukaryota; Viridiplantae; Streptophyta; Magnoliopsida; Malpighiales; Euphorbiaceae.